AUGUUUUGCCCUCACUUUCUCCAUUUUCUGUCUUUUACCAGGUGGCUUCAGCUUGUUACCAACAUGGAAAGAAUCCAUCAGAGACCAGACUCCCCACCUGCAACCAGCUCUGUAUCUUUGAGGAGUGAUGAUUCAAAGGAUCACGACAUUUACUUUAAAAAAGGAGAACCCUCUGCUGUUAAAGAAGUUGAUCCAGAAAGCUCAUCUGUUUCCAAUUCCCAGUCUGGCCAGCAGCAUCUACCAGACCGGGACUCUAUAUUUAUGGUCUGUACAUACAUUUCCUGUGCUCACAGCCUCACAUAUAUCAGUGGAUUAUAUGUCAAUCCAUCACUGAUCUUCCAUGUUUUUAGACUG
RNAcentral lists this long non-coding RNA (354 nucleotides) under Oreochromis niloticus (Nile tilapia). Its description in RNAcentral is "lncRNA (ENSONIG00000041879.1)". The record is from RNAcentral. Lineage: Eukaryota; Metazoa; Chordata; Actinopteri; Cichliformes; Cichlidae.